This 74-nucleotide transfer RNA is filed under the name Pirellula sp. RNAcentral's name for it is "tRNA-Arg". It matches the Rfam family "tRNA". Rfam says of the family: Transfer RNA (tRNA) molecules are approximately 80 nucleotides in length. Their secondary structure includes four short double-helical elements and three loops (D, anti-codon, and T loops). Further hydrogen bonds mediate the characteristic L-shaped molecular structure. tRNAs have two regions of fundamental functional importance: the anti-codon, which is responsible for specific mRNA codon recognition, and the 3' end, to which the tRNAs corresponding amino acid is attached (by aminoacyl-tRNA synthetases). tRNAs cope with the degeneracy of the genetic code in two manners: having more than one tRNA (with a specific anti-codon) for a particular amino acid; and 'wobble' base-pairing, i.e. permitting non-standard base-pairing at the 3rd anti-codon position. Lineage: Bacteria; Pseudomonadati; Planctomycetota; Planctomycetia; Pirellulales; Pirellulaceae. RNAcentral also lists the same sequence under 3 other names. The record is from RNAcentral.
GCCCUCGUAGCUCAGUUGGAUAGAGCGCGGCUUUCCUAAAGCUGAGGUCGCAAGUUCGAACCUUGCCGGGGGUA